AGAGUUUGAUCAUGGCUCAGAACGAACGCUGGCGGCGUGCUUAACACACGCAAGUCGAACGCGAACGAGUUCUUCGGAACUUUAGUAGAGUGGCGCACGGGUGAGUAACGCGUAAGUAAUCUACCCUCGCAUUUGGGAUAACCCACCGAAAGGUGUGCUAAUACCGGAUACGUCUAUUUUAAUAUCUUUUUGAUAGAGAAAGGUGGCCUCUGAUUUAAGCCACUGUGCGGGGAGGAGCUUGCGUACCAUUAGCUAGUUGGUAGGGUAACGGCCUACCAAGGCAACGAUGGUUAGCGGGUCUGAGAGGAUGAUCCGCCACACUGGAACUGGAACACGGACCAGACUCCUACGGGAGGCAGCAGUGAGGAAUAUUGCGCAAUGGGGGCAACCCUGACGCAGCGACGCCGCGUGGAUGAUGAAGGCCUUCGGGUUGUAAAAUCCUGUCAGAUGGGAAGAAGUGCCAGUUAUCUAAUAGGUGAUUGGUUUGACGGUACCAUCAAAGGAAGCACCGGCUAACUCCGUGCCAGCAGCCGCGGUAAUACGGAGGGUGCAAGCGUUGUUCGGAAUUACUGGGCGUAAAGCGCGCGUAGGCGGCUUCUUAAGUCAGAUGUGAAAGUCCAUGGCUCAACCAUGGAAGUGCAUUUGAAACUGGGGAGCUUGAGUACUGGAGGGGGUAGUGGAAUUCCCGGUGUAGAGGUG
RNAcentral lists this ribosomal RNA (699 nucleotides) under uncultured Desulfobacterales bacterium. RNAcentral describes it as "bacterial SSU rRNA". It matches the Rfam family "Bacterial small subunit ribosomal RNA", at positions 8 to 683 of the family's 1533-position model. The record is from RNAcentral. Lineage: Bacteria; Pseudomonadati; Thermodesulfobacteriota; Desulfobacteria; Desulfobacterales.